This is a long non-coding RNA of Tupaia belangeri chinensis (Chinese tree shrew), 927 nucleotides long. RefSeq lists it as uncharacterized. The transcript has 3 exons. The record is from RefSeq and is a predicted model, not a curated record. Lineage: Eukaryota; Metazoa; Chordata; Mammalia; Scandentia; Tupaiidae.
UAAGCAACAUGGGCACCUCAUGAAGCACCAUGCUUUCAACACUGAUUUAGCUGUGUCUCUCUUACCUGUGAUUGCUGAGACUCCGAAGUUGAGGUCAUACAGCCACAGGCACGAUUUAAAACAGAUCGGUGGUGAUUUAAGAUCAGAACUGGGGCAAAAAGUCUGGACCGACUGAUAAGGAAGACAGAGAGACAGCACCUCAACAGAAUCGUGAUGCCACACUCCACCGUCAGCCUCAGCCAAUCCCAGCUCAUGGGGACCUCUGUGCCAGUGGACUAAGGGAGGUCUCUGGACACAAGCCUAUAACCUUCCUCUGUGGUUAGUCUCUCACAGCAGUGCCACUGUCUUCACCAGAGCUCGGCUAAUUUUUGUUCUCUUUCAAGAGGACUCAUAUUUCAAUUCCUUUCUGAAACCUUCCCCACACAUCCCUCUCCUGUUCUGAAUAAGCAGAUAUCAUUCCCUCUAUAAUACUUCUUUUCUUCAUAUAUUUAUCAGUACAUGACAUAUAUGGAUUUGGUGGCAAAUGCUGUGGGAUUUGUUAGAUAAUCUUUGCCACCUGUGACUUUAAUUGAGCUAUUUGUUAGUUGAUGAUUCAAGCACAUUGGCACCUUAAGAGGAACAUUCGGAAAAUAGAAAGACUUUAGGUCCAAAAGAGUGAAUUACUAAAGAAGCCUUUUAAGCAAGAGAAUGACAUAAUAGUGGUUUUGAGAAGGUGUGAGGUGAUGGGAGAGGAAAAAAGGGGAAGGGGAAGCUGCAGUAAUUCAUCCUGCCAAGAAGAUUCAGGGAUUGUUUGAAAUGAGGUCAGCAAAGGAGUGUAUUGAACACCGAUUCCAAUCCCUGGGCCAUCUAAACAAGGCCUUGAAGAAGAGAAAAGCCUCCAGGCAUCUCCAAGACAUUCCUCCCUAUGCUGGACCUCCUCUCUGUGGG